UACACUUUCGGGUGUAAGAGACCGGCGCACGGGUGCGUAACGCGUAUGCAAUCUGCCUUUUACAGGAGUAUAGCCCGGAGAAAUCCGGAUUAAUCCUCCAUGGUAUUAUGAAGUGGCAUCAUUUUAUAAUUAAAGCUUCGGCGGUAAAAGAUGAGCAUGCGUCCUAUUAGUUAGUUGGUAAGGUAACGGCUUACCAAGACAUCGAUAGGUAGGGGUCCUGAGAGGGAGAUCCCCCACACUGGUACUGAGACACGGACCAGACUCCUACGGGAGGCAGCAGUGAGGAAUAUUGGACAAUGGGCGGGAGCCUGAUCCAGCCAUGCCGCGUGCAGGAAGACAGCCCUACGGGUUGUAAACUGCUUUUACAGAGGAAGAAUAAGGGGUACGCGUACCCCGAUGACGGUACUCUGCGAAUAAGCAUCGGCUAACUCCGUGCCAGCAGCCGCGGUAAUACGGAGGAUGCAAGCGUUAUCCGGAAUCAUUGGGUUUAAAGGGUCCGUAGGCGGGCUGGUAAGUCAGUGGUGAAAGUCUGCAGCUCAACUGUAGAAUUGCCAUUGAUACUGCUGGUCUUGAAUAACUAUGAAGUAAUUAGAAUGUGUAGUGUAGCGGUGAAAUGCAUAGAUAUUACACAGAAUACCGAUUGCGAAGGCAGGUUACUAGUAGUGCAUUGACGCUGAUGGACGAAAGCGUGGGGAGCGAACAGGAUUAGAUACCCUGGUAGUCCACGCCGUAAACGAUGGAUACUAGCUGUUCGUGCCACAUUGGUGGUAUGAGUGGCCAAGCGAAAGUGAUAAGUAUCCCACCUGGGGAGUACGUUCGCAAGAAUGAAACUCAAAGGAAUUGACGGGGGC
RNAcentral lists this ribosomal RNA (851 nucleotides) under uncultured bacterium. RNAcentral's name for it is "bacterial SSU rRNA". It matches the Rfam family "Bacterial small subunit ribosomal RNA", at positions 73 to 920 of the family's 1533-position model. The record is from RNAcentral.